RNAcentral lists this non-coding RNA (26 nucleotides) under Mus musculus (house mouse). The record is from RNAcentral. Lineage: Eukaryota; Metazoa; Chordata; Mammalia; Rodentia; Muridae.
GGAUAGUCAGUGCUGGAGAAAGGAGU